Molecule: ribosomal RNA, 771 nt
Filed under: Triticum aestivum (bread wheat)
Lineage: Eukaryota; Viridiplantae; Streptophyta; Magnoliopsida; Poales; Poaceae
Description: partial small subunit ribosomal RNA
Source: RNAcentral
AUGAUUAGGAAUGCCCAACACAACAAGCUUAUGGUUGGCUUAGCUGCGGAUCUUACUCCUGAUGGGGUUGUCGUCCUACAAUAUGCAGAUGACACAAUUUACUGCCUUGAACAUGAUAUUGACAAAGCAGUUAACCUGAAGUUGCUGAUGUACAUGUUUGAGAUGAUGUUUGGGUUAAAAGUUAAUUUUCAAAAGAGCGAGAUUCUUACUGUGGGUGGGGAUGAAGUUGUGAUAAAAGAAUAUGCUGACCUUUUCAGUUGUGACAUUGGUAGCUUCCCCAUUAAAUAUCUGGGUAUGCCUGUUAGCUAUACCAAUCUUAGAAACUCUGAUUGGAAGUUCAUUAUUUGCAAAUACCUUAAGAGAUUUGAAGCCUGGGUGGGCAAUUCUGCCUCCAUGGGAGGGAGACACACCUUAUUAGAUUCUGUUAUUACCCAGAUUUCUCUAUACCACAUGUCCAUGUGGCUGAUGAAUAAAUCUUUUAUUGAGAAACUGGACAAACAUAGAAGGAGGUUUUUUUGGCAAGGGUGUAACAAGAAAAAUAUAUAUUAUCUUGUCAAAUGGAGUAGAAUUUGUAGAUCCAAAGAGAAAGGGGGCCUUGGGAUUAAGGACCUACAUAAACAGAACAUCAGCCUGAUGGUUAAGUGGUGGUGGAAACUAGAAACGCAAAAUAGGGUGUGGCAAGAUAUUGUUCGCGCUCGUUACUUGCAGAAUAGAACGGUGGCUGAGUUGACCCUAGAUUCUUUGAUUCCCCCUGCUGGAAAGCUUUGUUGA